This 220-nucleotide unclassified non-coding RNA is filed under the name Hevea brasiliensis (rubber tree). Lineage: Eukaryota; Viridiplantae; Streptophyta; Magnoliopsida; Malpighiales; Euphorbiaceae. The record is from RNAcentral.
GCAAAUAUAAUUAAAUAAUCACAUAGAAUCAAAAUUCUGUACAAAUCAAACUUUUCUAGAAAAAUAACCAAAACUUCUACAUCUCCCAUCUUCUACAAAGAUAUUUAAGGUUUUCUUUUCAGGCUGCACUAAGAUUGAUUUAUCACAUUAUACAUGUCCAAUCAUUAGCUGAAAGUAGUUUUCAUACUUUUGAUCAGAGAACACAAUCCUGAGUUAUUUU